This 357-nucleotide ribosomal RNA is filed under the name uncultured bacterium. RNAcentral's name for it is "bacterial SSU rRNA". It matches the Rfam family "Bacterial small subunit ribosomal RNA", at positions 556 to 901 of the family's 1533-position model. The record is from RNAcentral.
GGGNGUAAGCGUGCGGCGUAGGGCGGUCUGGUAGUCAGNUGUGAAUCCCCGGCUUACCUAGGGAACUGCCGUUUAGGAAACGUGCGAGAGCUAGAGUGCGGCAGAGGGAGGUCGGAAUUCCAUGUGUAGCAGUGAAAUGCGUAGAGAUAGUGGAAGAACAUCGAUGGCGUAAGGCAACCUCCUGGGCUAGACACUGACGCUACAUGCACGAAAGCGUGGGGAGCAAACAGGAUUAGAUACCCUGGUAGUCCACGCCCUAAAACUAUGUCAACUAGUUGUCGGGUCUUAAUAGACUUGGUAACGUAGCUAACGCGUGAAGUUGACCGCCUGGGGAGUACGGUACGCAAGAUUAAAACU